Molecule: long non-coding RNA, 491 nt
Organism: Quercus robur (English oak)
Lineage: Eukaryota; Viridiplantae; Streptophyta; Magnoliopsida; Fagales; Fagaceae
Exons: 2
Source: RefSeq, a predicted model, not a curated record
UAUAUAUAAAACCGAAGCUUUUGCUGGCACCACAAUUUUCCACGUCAGCACAAUAUUUAAAAAAUAAAAAAUAAAUAAAAAUUAUAACUCCUCAAAACCCUUGCAACCUUACCCCUCUCUCAAGUUAAGAAAUAUAAAGCCACAAUUUUCCACGUCAGCAUAAUAUUUAAAAAAUAAAAAAUAAAUAAAAAUUAUAACUCCUCAAAACCCUAGCAACCUUAUCCCUCUCUCAAGUUAAGAAAUAUAAAGCCACGGUUUCUACAAACUCUCUCUCUCCAGACGUAGAAAGCCCUAAAACAUUCAAGAUCUACAAAGUUCAGUUUUGUUUAUAUAUUAAUUAAUACAUAAACAGAACAAUCAGUUUGCAAGCUCUUUAUGCAAGGCCUGGAUAAGAAGGGACGCCCCAUUGUGGUUUGCUUUGGUGGCAGGCAUAAGCAGAACAAUCUAGAGGAGUUCAAGCGUUUUGUGGUCUACAGCUUAGACAAAAUAUG